This 434-nucleotide ribosomal RNA is filed under the name uncultured bacterium. RNAcentral describes it as "partial 16S ribosomal RNA". It matches the Rfam family "Bacterial small subunit ribosomal RNA", at positions 29 to 507 of the family's 1533-position model. The record is from RNAcentral.
AGCGAACGCUGGCGGCAGGCCUAACACAUGCAAGUCGAACGAACCUUUCGGGGUUAGUGGCGGACGGGUGAGUAACACGUGGGAACGUCCCUUUAGGUUCGGAAUAACUCAGGGAAACUUGUGCUAAUACCGAAUGUGCCCUUCGGGGGAAAGAUUUAUCGCCUUUAGAGCGGCCCGCGUCUGAUUAGCUAGUUGGUUGAGGUAAUGGCUCACCAAGGCGACGAUCAGUAGCUGGUCUGAGAGGAUGAUCAGCCACAUUGGGACUGAGACACGGCCCAAACUCCUACGGGAGGCAGCAGUGGGGAAUCUUGCGCAAUGGGCGAAAGCCUGACGCAGCCAUGCCGCGUGAAUGAUGAAGGUCUUAGGAUUGUAAAAUUCUUUCACCGGGGACGAUAAUGACGGUACCCGGAGAAGAAGCCCCGGCUAACUUCGUG